GAUGGAUUGGCCUAGUGGUUGGGCGACGGACUGUUAAUCCGUGAACGAGAGUUCUAGCAAGGUUCAAAUCCUUGAUCCAUCGCCA
Molecule: transfer RNA, 85 nt
Filed under: Escherichia coli
Lineage: Bacteria; Pseudomonadati; Pseudomonadota; Gammaproteobacteria; Enterobacterales; Enterobacteriaceae
Description: tRNA-Asn
Rfam family: tRNA
About the family: Transfer RNA (tRNA) molecules are approximately 80 nucleotides in length.
Source: RNAcentral